UACGUAGGGCGCAAGCGUUGUCCGGAAUUAUUGGGCGUAAAGAGCGUGUAGGCGGCCAGGUAGGUCUGGUGUGAAAACUCGAGGCUUAACCUCGAGAUGUCAUCGGAAACCAUCUGGCUAGAGUCCGGAAGAGGAGAGUGGAAUUCCUGGUGUAGCGGUGAAAUGCGCAGAUAUCAGGAAGAACACCAAUGGCGAAAGCAGCUCUCUGGGACGGUACUGACGCUGAGACGCGAAAGCGUGGGGAGCGAACAGG
This 253-nucleotide ribosomal RNA is filed under the name uncultured bacterium. Its description in RNAcentral is "partial 16S ribosomal RNA". It matches the Rfam family "Bacterial small subunit ribosomal RNA", at positions 524 to 776 of the family's 1533-position model. The record is from RNAcentral.